RNAcentral lists this long non-coding RNA (870 nucleotides) under Amphimedon queenslandica. RNAcentral's name for it is "uncharacterized LOC109583245, transcript variant X2". The record is from RNAcentral. Lineage: Eukaryota; Metazoa; Porifera; Demospongiae; Haplosclerida; Niphatidae.
ACUAUUUAAUUUGUUAUGAUCCAUGAAAACUGUAUACAUGUACCUAAGCACGGGCACACACAGUUUCAAGGAAAAGUGAUAGAAAAACAGGAAACAUUUUUCUCCAUGUAUACAUGUACAUAUGUAUUCUAACUAUUUUUUCUCCAUUUUUUUCAUUUUUUCACUUGUUUCUUUUCUUCCCUCCCUUUCUGAGAUCCUUUUCAUAUCCUUUAUGCAUAUCUCUCCCUCCCUCUCUUUCUAUUAUAGUCUCUCCUAUAUGUCAGGAAGGUUUGAGUCUCUUCACUUUAAUGUCAUCCUCUUAAUUAAAUGAAUGUGACAUGUGAUGUUAGUCAGGUGAUGUUGUGUAGGUAAGGAUCACUAGUGGGUACCUGGUGGAGUGAGGCGAGGUGUGGCCAGAAAGGAAGUUGUGAUGAUGAAAUUAAAGCUAUAUUAUGCUACCUCCUGGAGGUUCCCUGUCAUGGACUGGUGAUAUGUAGUGGGUCAAUAUUACAGUGGGACCCACGUCUACCAGGAGACUAUUAGACCACACCCAGGAGGUCUGUGGGAUUCAAUAGUCACCAAAUCAUCAGCAACUGGUGGCAAGAGGAAAUGAUAAUAUAUGUGUACUUCAGUACUAGUUCUCAAGAUACACCCACUCACUGGCAUCAGAGGAUAUUCUUCCUCAAUGAACCCGUACAAGUUCAAACAGGUUUUUCUGCCUGUACUUCUCACUCCUGUCGUCAUUGUGGGGCUUCUGUAUGUAGUCUGGACCUUGUGGUCUUUUGUGUAAGAAGGGAGGUAUGCAUUUCAAUUAGUAUUCUGGGAACGAGAAUGCCUUUCUGUCACUCUCCAUUAGGGGAAUGCUCUUUGAUGAUGGACAUUUUACGUUUU